UAAUUAUUAAUUGUUUUCAUUUAACUUUAUACAUCAUAUUCUCAGUCAAUCAAGGUAUGUAUUUUUGUUGUUUAUGGAUUGAAUGCAUUUACGUGAAGGGAGUUAAAGCCCUAACUUAAUUUCUAUGCUAUUGUUGUAAUUGUUUUGUUUGUGAAGUCGGGAUUCAGAGGAUAUGAAGAAGAAGCAGGCGCGUUUCAAGUAACGCACGCAAAAGUUGAGAAGGAGAUGGCUUCGGUUCAAGGAGGAUUGAAAAGUUCAAAGAAAGUAACGAUUCACAUUGGUGUAGCUAUGUUGAUUAAUGCUGGGGAAAAUUGGCAGGGAAGAGGAUCGGUUGAUAACACCAUGUCUCUGUUACAAGAUAUGUAGCUCACAGCAGGUCUACAGAAGACCCUAAAUAAACUAAUAAUAUGAUUUUUCUUUCAGUUGGUGAUUUUGGUCUCUCUCGAAUCAAGCUUCAAAGAUACCUCAAUACAAAGUCUCUGAAAGGAACGAUACAGUGAUUGAUUUUUUACUUUCAUAAUGGAAGAUCAAGGAAAUAAAAACUAAAAGUUCAUGCCUCAAGAAAUAAAUAAAAAACUCUUAUCUUCGACUUUGGCAGAAUGUUCACAUUUACAAUCAGAGGCCGGUUGUCAAACGUUUAGUCAGGCACAUUAGAGGGCCUCCAUUUUUGCUGAACAUGCCUCAUGGAAUUCGCCUCUUCUAUCACCUCAUUAUGUUAACUACAGAGAUCGCGAUAAGGUUUGUUGGUAUUGUGAUGCCCGAAUUUUAUUAUAGUUAUUUUUCUUCUUUUCUUAAACCGAAUUACACUACAACCCUUAAAACUUUAAUAAUGAGUUUUUUUUGUUGCGACGUUAUGAAUUUCUUUUACGACCGCCCAAGACACAUUCUGUGAUUUUAGGUAUCUUGAUUAAUAUCAAUCCAUGAAGUUUACCGGGUUAUAAUCUAUUUAUUAUAUAUAAUAGAUUCAAGUUGCCUUUUACCUUAUCAUUAACUUACCUAAUACGUCACAUUAUUUAAGUUUCUUUUAAUUAUACACUUAUGAGUAUUUUUAAGAAGGUCUCCAAGUAGUUUGUUUUGUGGUUUUCGUACGAACUCUUUUUGAACAAUAUGUUUUGGUUAUCUAUGUAUUUAGUUGGAACGUUAUGUUAUCGUUUGUGUUUCAAGACAGUACUAUAUUAUUAUGUUGUAAACUUACUUACCAGAUUUUGGUUGAUAUGGUGGACAUGCAAUGUCCAAUAUUUGGUAUGCACUUCAGUCAUGUCGGUAUUUUGUUUGUCUUAAUAUUCAUUAGUUUUAUAUUUUUAUGUUUUGAAUUUUAAUGAAUUGAUAUGUGUAAUUAACUUUUACGUUAUUUAUAGGUAUUGCAGUAUUAAAUUUUAUUGUUUUGAGUUUAAAACUUCAAAACUUACACGAAAUUUAUGCAUAAGAGUGAGUGUGUUUAACUUUUAGGUUAUUUAUAAAUCCUUCAAUAGUUUCCAUGUUUUGCCGCUUCAUCUAAUUUAGUUUUGUUCUCGAUUCAAAUUUCAAUUAUGUGCAAAAUCUGAUUCGGGCAGUUCCGGGGUUGGGUAUUAAUGUAAGCUUCUGGACAAGUUCUUAGGCUUCAUGUGGGCCUUUAUAUUUACGGUAUCUGCUUUUAUAUGGGCUGGAGAAAAAGAAAAAUGUGACGUUUGGCAAAAGGUGGGGCAGGUCGAGUGUGGGCGGGAGUCCGGUUUUCUGUUGGGCUCAUGCUCCGACAUCGGGAUCGGAGUUGCUGGAAUUACAGGAUUUGUUAGUGGAAAUGUAGGGCUUCAACACGAACGGGGUAGAGGAUAAGUGGUCAUGGGUGCUGGAUACGUUGGAAGGCUUCUCGGUAAAGAGUCUGAAGAAAAAGUUGCAGGAUAAAACUUUUCAAAACCUGGGCGUUGACUGCGAAUGGAAUUUAUGGUGCCCCAUUAAAGUAAACUUUCUAAUCUGGAGGCUAGCUAUGGAGUGAUUACCGACUUUAAUUAAUCUUGCAAAAAGAAACAUUCAGUUGGAUACCCUGAUGUGCAAGUUCUGUGGCAAAUCGGAAGAAACUUCGGAGCAUCUUUUCGUGUCUUGCGGUUUAUCACAAUAUGUUUGGGACUUCAUUGGAUCUUGGUGCAGGCUGUAUGGUUUCUUUUUGUUCGAGGUGGGAGACGUUCUGAGAUACCACAAGAUGGCUCGGGGGAAUAAAAAUGGAAGAAUUCAGUCUACACUAUUAUGCAGACAGUCGUUUGGGUCAUUUGGAAGGCACGUAAUGAGGCGAUUUUUAAGGGGAAGCAGCCGAGGGUAUCAAGUUUAAUUGAGGAGAUAAAAGUCUUGGGCUAUCUUUGGUUCAAAAGUCGGGCAAAGGCUGCACAGCUUACCUGGGAAGAAUGGAGUUGUUUUAAUUUAUUAAGCAUAGGCAUUUGAGGUUUCUGUUUGUAGCCUGGUGUAAUUGUCGGGUUAACAAAAUGUUAUCCCGUUUCGAUGAAUAAAAAUGUGUUUUUGUUGGCCGUUAAAAAAAAUUCAAAAGUACAGUUUGUCUCUCAUUUUGUGUAAUUUAUUACUAAUUAAUACUUUUCAUAGUUUCUCUUAAAAAUUGUUUAUAAUUAUGAUUUAUAUUUUAUCGUAUUACCUCAUU
Long non-coding RNA from Helianthus annuus (common sunflower), 2623 nucleotides. RefSeq lists it as uncharacterized. The transcript has 3 exons. Lineage: Eukaryota; Viridiplantae; Streptophyta; Magnoliopsida; Asterales; Asteraceae. The record is from RefSeq and is a predicted model, not a curated record.